UACGUAAGGUCCGAGCGUUGUCCGGAAUCAUUGGGCGUAAAGGGUGCGUAGGCGGACUGGUAAGUCAGCUGUGAAAGUUUACGGCUCAACCGUGAAAUUGCAGUUGAUACUGUUGGUCUUGAGUAUACAUGAGGUGGGCGGAAUUUGUGGUGUAGCGGUGAAAUGCUUAGAUAUCACAAAGAACUCCAAUUGCGAAGGCAGCUCACUGGGGUAUAACUGACGCUGAUGCACGAAGGUGUGGGUAUCAAACAGG
This 253-nucleotide ribosomal RNA is filed under the name uncultured bacterium. RNAcentral describes it as "partial 16S ribosomal RNA". It matches the Rfam family "Bacterial small subunit ribosomal RNA", at positions 524 to 776 of the family's 1533-position model. The record is from RNAcentral.